Paramuricea clavata is the source of this 362-nucleotide non-coding RNA. NCBI's taxonomy places the organism in Eukaryota, Metazoa, Cnidaria, Anthozoa, Malacalcyonacea, Plexauridae. The record is from the annotation of a GenBank genome assembly.
CUGUUUUUCUGUAGCGGUUACCAAAUUAUGAGCAAAGGAAAAUAUGAUGACAAAAUUUAGUUUUUAUUUGUAUAGCCCCAGCGAGUUAACGCUCCAUAGAGCGUCUUGUUUAUAUGAAAUUUCUUUAUCUUUUUACAAUGUUUCCUGCUCAAUUUGAGAUAUUUUUCUACAGCUUGGGACGCAAUAUAAUUUGGCUUGUAUAAUACUAUAGUCUUCCUAGCCAUCGAAAAAGUAAUUUUUAAGUAAAGAUAAAAACCCCAUAUAAUUCUCUAGUUUGUCCAGUAUUUCCUCAGGCGUCCAGUGUCGUUCAGGUGAAAGGAGUGCUUCGGUCCACGAAUCCAUUACAACCCUUAUACCAAACU